RNAcentral lists this ribosomal RNA (249 nucleotides) under Clostridium botulinum. RNAcentral's name for it is "partial 23S ribosomal RNA". It matches the Rfam family "Bacterial large subunit ribosomal RNA", at positions 47 to 300 of the family's 2925-position model. Lineage: Bacteria; Bacillati; Bacillota; Clostridia; Eubacteriales; Clostridiaceae. The record is from RNAcentral.
CGAAGAAGGACGCGAUAAGCUGCGAUAAGCCUUGGGUAGCCGCAAAUAGGCUGAGAUCCAGGGAUUUCCGAAUGAGGAAACUCACAUGGGUAACCCCAUGUAUUAUGCACUGAAUACAUAGGUGUAUAAGGGUAAACCCGGGGAACUGAAACAUCUAAGUACCCGGAGGAAGAGAAAGAAAAAUCGAUUUCCUAAGUAGCGGCGAGCGAACGGGAAAGAGCCCAAACCAGAAACUUGUUUCUGGGGUUG